AAAUCUGUCCGUUGGUCGGGCUUCACUGUCCGUACUGGCGUGAUGGGUUCUUACCUUCUGAAUAACCAGCAUGCCAUUCACCUGGUGCGCUAGGGAAGCAGGACUAUUACCUUGAAAAAUUAGAGUGCUCAAAGCAGGCUAGCGCCUGAAUGCAUUAGCAUGGAAUAAUAAAAUAGGACGGCAUGGUUCUAUUUUGUUGGUUUCUAGGAUCACCGUAAUG
RNAcentral lists this ribosomal RNA (220 nucleotides) under uncultured fungus. RNAcentral's name for it is "partial 18S ribosomal RNA". The stretch from base 91 to 220 matches the Rfam family "Eukaryotic small subunit ribosomal RNA", at positions 736 to 867 of the family's 1831-position model. The record is from RNAcentral. Lineage: Eukaryota; Fungi.